Diospyros lotus (date-plum) is the source of this 560-nucleotide long non-coding RNA. RefSeq lists it as uncharacterized. The transcript is spliced from 3 exons. The record is from RefSeq and is a predicted model, not a curated record. Lineage: Eukaryota; Viridiplantae; Streptophyta; Magnoliopsida; Ericales; Ebenaceae.
UAUAUAUAUAUAACUAGCAGUGAGCUCGAUGGGUCAGGAAGUUGCCAUAACCGUUUGGUGCAAACCCAUCUAUUGAUAUAGGGUGUAGCGAGCUGGAGCGUGAGCUCGGUGUCUAAGUGAGUAACUGUGCAUAUGAAGGUGGCAGCAAGGCCAACACCAGUGGCGGCCCUGGUCCGUUACCUCCUUCCUCUUGAAGUGAGGUUAUAAAUUGAAGGAUUGUGGCCACGGUUAAGGAAAAAGGAAAGGAACCCCUCUGCAAGCUGCUGGAAAUUGAUACACAAAGCAAGAAAAAUUAGAAGAAGAAGAAGAAAAAAAAGAAGGAAGGGAGAAGAAGAAGGAAAGAAGGGAGAAGAAGCAAGGCGCAGGAGCAGGGGCGCGGGAAGGAGAAGAAGAGAGGAAGAAGAAGAAGAAAGAAAAUGAAAUAAAGAAAAGAAAAAAAAAAUAAUAAAUAAGAGAAAAAUAAUAGAAUUUUUGGAUUUUCGGCAUGAGAAGUGAUCAGCAAACAUUUUACUUCGUAGCGGGAGUGCAAGAAAGGCAGGAAACGGCCGUGUAAAGGCAAA